AACCCAGUGAAGGGACCAAUGACAGGCUCCAUCCUUCGUGUUGCUCAAGGUGUGACUUCCGCUACCACAUCAACACGGUCCAAUUGAAUAGAAGGUAUGCAACCUGAUGUAUGAAUUUGUUUUUCUGAAGCUGACAGUCUUGGCUAGCCUUUUCAGCUGCAUAUAAGCCAACACAACCUUCAGCAAUAAUGUCUGGCAAGCAUAGAAUAGAGCCUAUUUGCCAAAUUAGCAUGAGAAGCAGCAUUCAAGGAGCAUCAACCAAGAUUGUUCACAACUCAGUGCAGGCACCAAUGACAGGCGCCAUUAUUUGCAUUGCUCAAGGUGUGACUUUUGCUUCCACAUCAACACAGUCCGAUUAAAUAGAAGUUGAGGAAAUCUGGACUGCGUGGCUUCCUUCUUUUGCUGGCAAGAACAGGAAGCUGGCAAUGGUGGGGGUGGCUGGUUUGACAAAGGAGAGAAACAGAAACCUGCUUCAAUGGGGAGUAAGACUAGUUGAGGAAGUGUCAAGAGAGAUUUUUGAAGCUGCCAAGGGAUGGAAUCCUCUGCGUCAACAGAUAGCUUGGAUCUGAGGAAAUGAGAGAUGCUUUUGUGUUCUACUUUAACUGCCUGGAGGAUUUGGAUCUUGCUGGGCGUUUGACACCGCACACUCUGGAGUCCAUUGUGCUACGUCUGCUUUAACCUGGGAGGGAGGAGAUGGAGGUUUGCUCAGUGGAGCUGCUGCUAUUGCUGGUUGCUCUAUCUCUUUUCUGCUAGAUGUAGUGCUGAUGUAAACUCUGGUUGUUAUGCUGGUGGAAUUCUGGUCGUUCUGUUUUUCUUUUAGAGCUGAAUGCUCAUUGAGACUUGUAGCAAAACUUCGGUUUCUCUAAUGGAAACAGGAGGGAGAUC
This is a long non-coding RNA of Brachypodium distachyon (stiff brome), 885 nucleotides long. RefSeq lists it as uncharacterized. NCBI's taxonomy places the organism in Eukaryota, Viridiplantae, Streptophyta, Magnoliopsida, Poales, Poaceae. The record is from RefSeq and is a predicted model, not a curated record. The transcript is spliced from 4 exons.